Molecule: non-coding RNA, 224 nt
Filed under: Rubripirellula tenax
Lineage: Bacteria; Pseudomonadati; Planctomycetota; Planctomycetia; Pirellulales; Pirellulaceae
Source: RNAcentral
AAAGUUUCUUACAGUGAAAUCUUAGCCAAGAACGCUGGCCCUGAGUCGUACGCUGACCGUGGUGACACGUUGGGUGUGGUAUCGACAAGGGGACAACUAGGCGCAGCGAGUGAGCUCCGAAAACAGAGUUUUUCCGAAUGCCGACACCGUCGAGGUUGUGGAAGGCAGUACGGACGAGGUCGCUAUUGGCGAGACCGCGUUCGGUUCGGCGGAGUCAAGGAGCU